GUCUCUGGCCAUACCACCCUGAAUGCGCCCAAUCUCGUCUGAUCUUGGAAGCUAAGCAGGGUCGGGCCUGGUUGUACUUGGAUAGGAGGAAAAAAUAGCUAAGUCU
RNAcentral lists this ribosomal RNA (106 nucleotides) under Octodon degus (degu). The record is from RNAcentral. Lineage: Eukaryota; Metazoa; Chordata; Mammalia; Rodentia; Octodontidae.